This 984-nucleotide ribosomal RNA is filed under the name Beauveria medogensis. RNAcentral describes it as "SSU rRNA". It matches the Rfam family "Eukaryotic small subunit ribosomal RNA", at positions 87 to 1082 of the family's 1831-position model. The record is from RNAcentral. Lineage: Eukaryota; Fungi; Ascomycota; Sordariomycetes; Hypocreales; Cordycipitaceae.
CUGCGAAUGGCUCAUUAUAUAAGUUAUCGUUUAUUUGAUAGUACCUUACUACUUGGAUAACCGUGGUAAUUCUAGAGCUAAUACAUGCUGAAAAUCCCGACUUCGGAAGGGAUGUAUUUAUUAGAUUAAAAACCAAUGCCCUCUGGGCUCCUUGGUGAUUCAUAAUAACUUUUCGAAUCGCACGGCCUUGCGCCGGCGAUGGUUCAUUCAAAUUUCUUCCCUAUCAACUUUCGAUGUUUGGGUAUUGGCCAAACAUGGUCGCAACGGGUAACGGAGGGUUAGGGCUCGACCCCGGAGAAGGAGCCUGAGAAACGGCUACUACAUCCAAGGAAGGCAGCAGGCGCGCAAAUUACCCAAUCCCGAUUCGGGGAGGUAGUGACAAUAAAUACUGAUACAGGGCUCUUUUGGGUCUUGUAAUUGGAAUGAGUACAAUUUAAAUCUCUUAACGAGGAACAAUUGGAGGGCAAGUCUGGUGCCAGCAGCCGCGGUAAUUCCAGCUCCAAUAGCGUAUAUUAAAGUUGUUGUGGUUAAAAAGCUCGUAGUUGAACCUUGGGCCUGGCUGGCCGGUCCGCCUCACCGCGUGUACUGGUCCGGCCGGGCCUUUCCCUCUGUGGAACCUCAUGCCCUUCACUGGGUGUGGCGGGGAAACAGGACUUUUACUUUGAAAAAAUUAGAGUGCUCCAGGCAGGCCUAUGCUCGAAUACAUUAGCAUGGAAUAAUAAAAUAGGACGUGUGGUUCUAUUUUGUUGGUUUCUAGGACCGCCGUAAUGAUUAAUAGGGACAGUCGGGGGCAUCAGUAUUCAAUUGUCAGAGGUGAAAUUCUUAGAUUUAUUGAAGACUAACUACUGCGAAAGCAUUUGCCAAGGAUGUUUUCAUUAAUCAGGAACGAAAGUUAGGGGAUCGAAGACGAUCAGAUACCGUCGUAGUCUUAACCAUAAACUAUGCCGACUAGGGAUCGGACGAUGUUAUUUUUUGACGCGUUCG